GACGAACGCUGGCGGCGUGCUUCAUACAUGCAAGUCGAACGAGAAGCUGACUUCGGUCAGUGGAAAGUGGCGGACGGGUGAGUAAUAUGUAGGAAAUCUGCCCUAGAGAGGGGGACAACAGAGGGAAACUUCUGCUAAUACCCCAUAUGAGCGUAGCUGAAAUGCUAUUCUUGAAAACUCCGGUGCUCUAGGAUGAGCCUGCAUCUGAUUAGCUUGUUGGUGGGUAAUGGCCUACCAAGGCGACGAUCAGUAGCUGGUUUGAGAGGAUGAUCAGCCACAAUGGGACUGAGACACGGCCCAUACUCCUACGGGAGGCAGCAGUGGGGAAUAUUGGACAAUGGGCGAAAGCCUGAUCUAGCAAUGCCGCGUGAGUGAUGAAGGCCUUAGGGUUGUAAAGCUCUUUUACCAGGGAUGAUAAUGACAGUACCUGGAGAAUAAGCUCCGGCUAACUCCGUGCCAGCCGCCGCUGUAA
This 472-nucleotide ribosomal RNA is filed under the name uncultured bacterium. RNAcentral describes it as "partial 16S ribosomal RNA". It matches the Rfam family "Bacterial small subunit ribosomal RNA", at positions 28 to 523 of the family's 1533-position model. The record is from RNAcentral.